GGGUUGUGAGGUUAAGCGACUAAGCGUACACGGUGGAUGCCCUGGCAGUCAGAGGCGAUGAAGGGCGUGCUAAUCUGCGAUAAGCGCCGGUAAGGUGAUAUGAACCGUUAUAACCGGCGAUACCCGAAUGGGGAAACCCAGUGUGACUCGUCACACUAUCAUUAACUGAAUCCAUAGGUUAAUGAGGCGAACCGGGGGAACUGAAACAUCUAAGUACCCCGAGGAAAAGAAAUCAACCGAGAUUCCCCCAGUAGCGGCGAGCGAACGGGGAGGAGCCCAGAGCCUGAAUCAGCAUGUGUGUUAGUGGAAGCGUCUGGAAAGGCGCGCGAUACAGGGUGACAGCCCCGUACACAAAAGCGCAUGUGCUGUGAGCUCGAUGAGUAGGGCGGGACACGUGGUAUCCUGUCUGAAUAUGGGGGGACCAUCCUCCAAGGCUAAAUACUCCUGACUGACCGAUAGUGAACCAGUACCGUGAGGGAAAGGCGAAAAGAACCCCGGCGAGGGGAGUGAAAAAGAACCUGAAACCGUGUACGUACAAGCAGUGGGAGCACCCUUCGGGGUGUGACUGCGUACCUUUUGUAUAAUGGGUCAGCGACUUAUAUUCUGUAGCAAGGUUAACCGUAUAGGGGAGCCGGAGGGAAACCGAGUCUUAACCGGGCGUUAAGUUGCAGGGUAUAGACCCGAAACCCGGUGAUCUAGCCAUGGGCAGGUUGAAGGUUGGGUAACACUAACUGGAGGACCGAACCGACUAAUGUUGAAAAAUUAGCGGAUGACCUGUGGCUGGGGGUGAAAGGCCAAUCAAACCGGGAGAUAGCUGGUUCUCCCCGAAAGCUAUUUAGGUAGCGCCUCGUGAAUUCAUCUCCGGGGGUAGAGCACUGUUUCGGCUAGGGGGCCAUCCCGGCUUACCAACCCGAUGCAAACUGCGAAUACCGGAGAAUGUUAUCACGGGAGACACACGGCGGGUGCUAACGUCCGUCGUGAAGAGGGAAACAACCCAGACCGCCAGCUAAGGUCCCAAAGUCAUGGUUAAGUGGGAAACGAUGUGGGAAGGCCCAGACAGCCAGGAUGUUGGCUUAGAAGCAGCCAUCAUUUAAAGAAAGCGUAAUAGCUCACUGGUCGAGUCGGCCUGCGCGGAAGAUGUAACGGGGCUAAACCAUGCACCGAAGCUGCGGCAGCGACGCUUAUGCGUUGUUGGGUAGGGGAGCGUUCUGUAAGCCUGUGAAGGUGGCCUGUGAGGGUUGCUGGAGGUAUCAGAAGUGCGAAUGCUGACAUAAGUAACGAUAAAGCGGGUGAAAAGCCCGCUCGCCGGAAGACCAAGGGUUCCUGUCCAACGUUAAUCGGGGCAGGGUGAGUCGACCCCUAAGGCGAGGCCGAAAGGCGUAGUCGAUGGGAAACAGGUUAAUAUUCCUGUACUUGGUGUUACUGCGAAGGGGGGACGGAGAAGGCUAUGUUGGCCGGGCGACGGUUGUCCCGGUUUAAGCGUGUAGGUGUGUGUUCCAGGUAAAUCCGGUUCACUUUAACACUGAGGCGUGAUGACGAGGCACUACGGUGCUGAAGCAACAAAUGCCCUGCUUCCAGGAAAAGCCUCUAAGCAUCAGGUAACAUCAAAUCGUACCCCAAACCGACACAGGUGGUCAGGUAGAGAAUACCAAGGCGCUUGAGAGAACUCGGGUGAAGGAACUAGGCAAAAUGGUGCCGUAACUUCGGGAGAAGGCACGCUGACACGUAGGUGAAGUGAUUUACUCAUGGAGCUGAAGUCAGUCGAAGAUACCAGCUGGCUGCAACUGUUUAUUAAAAACACAGCACUGUGCAAACACGAAAGUGGACGUAUACGGUGUGACGCCUGCCCGGUGCCGGAAGGUUAAUUGAUGGGGUCAGCGCAAGCGAAGCUCCUGAUCGAAGCCCCGGUAAACGGCGGCCGUAACUAUAACGGUCCUAAGGUAGCGAAAUUCCUUGUCGGGUAAGUUCCGACCUGCACGAAUGGCGUAAUGAUGGCCAGGCUGUCUCCACCCGAGACUCAGUGAAAUUGAACUCGCUGUGAAGAUGCAGUGUACCCGCGGCAAGACGGAAAGACCCCGUGAACCUUUACUAUAGCUUGACACUGAACAUUGAGCCUUGAUGUGUAGGAUAGGUGGGAGGCUUUGAAGUGUGGACGCCAGUCUGCAUGGAGCCGACCUUGAAAUACCACCCUUUAAUGUUUGAUGUUCUAACGUGGACCCGUGAUCCGGGUUGCGGACAGUGUCUGGUGGGUAGUUUGACUGGGGCGGUCUCCUCCUAAAGAGUAACGGAGGAGCACGAAGGUUGGCUAAUCCUGGUCGGACAUCAGGAGGUUAGUGCAAUGGCAUAAGCCAGCUUGACUGCGAGCGUGACGGCGCGAGCAGGUGCGAAAGCAGGUCAUAGUGAUCCGGUGGUUCUGAAUGGAAGGGCCAUCGCUCAACGGAUAAAAGGUACUCCGGGGAUAACAGGCUGAUACCGCCCAAGAGUUCAUAUCGACGGCGGUGUUUGGCACCUCGAUGUCGGCUCAUCACAUCCUGGGGCUGAAGUAGGUCCCAAGGGUAUGGCUGUUCGCCAUUUAAAGUGGUACGCGAGCUGGGUUUAGAACGUCGUGAGACAGUUCGGUCCCUAUCUGCCGUGGGCGCUGGAGAACUGAGGGGGGCUGCUCCUAGUACGAGAGGACCGGAGUGGACGCAUCACUGGUGUUCGGGUUGUCAUGCCAAUGGCACUGCCCGGUAGCUAAAUGCGGAAGAGAUAAGUGCUGAAAGCAUCUAAGCACGAAACUUGCCCCGAGAUGAGUUCUCCCUGAGACUUAGAGUCUCCUGAAGGAACGUUGAAGACGACGACGUUGAUAGGCCGGGUGUGUAAGCGCAGCGAUGCGUUGAGCUAACCGGUACUAAUGAACCGUGAGGCUUAACCUUACAACGCCGAAG
RNAcentral lists this ribosomal RNA (2927 nucleotides) under Salmonella enterica subsp. enterica serovar Wandsworth str. SA20092095. Its description in RNAcentral is "bacterial LSU rRNA". It matches the Rfam family "Bacterial large subunit ribosomal RNA". The record is from RNAcentral. Lineage: Bacteria; Pseudomonadati; Pseudomonadota; Gammaproteobacteria; Enterobacterales; Enterobacteriaceae.